CAGGCGCCGCUUCUUCUUCGCCCUGCCUUUGCCUUGCCCAAGCGCGCACGAAAGGGGAAAGAGCGGCCACCCGGCCGCCGGACAAGCCCGGGGGGGAAAAAAGUGCCCGGCCGAAGGGUUCUGGGAGCCUCCCCUGGAAGAAGGACCCCGGACCGGCCUCUUACCUGCACUUCAGCUGCUUUGGGUGAGCUCCGCCAAUAUAAAGUCAUGAUCCACAGGUGAACCAGUGAAGUACGUCAGCUGAAAGCCAAGAAUCACUACGUGGCUCAGUGGCUAAGACGCUGAGCUUGUCGGUCAGAAAGGUCGGCAGUUCGGUGGUUCGGAUCCCUAAUACAUCCUGCGUCCGAAAUCUUGGCACAAAAGCACUAACCUUUGGUUCCAACUGAGCUGUCCAACACCUGUAGCAAGCAUCUGGAAACGGUGGGUGAGACCAGGUUCUGCUUUCCCAGCGGUUCAGCACCCAACUAUAG
Long non-coding RNA from Ahaetulla prasina, 470 nucleotides. RefSeq lists it as uncharacterized. NCBI's taxonomy places the organism in Eukaryota, Metazoa, Chordata, Lepidosauria, Squamata, Colubridae. The record is from RefSeq and is a predicted model, not a curated record. The transcript is spliced from 3 exons.